UCAUACAGGAAAACAGGAAUUAGAGGGCUGUAAGGAAGAGGAGUUGCCUGCAUUACUGAUCUGGAUCUGGCACUGUUCCGGAGGGGGCCGUUGCAGACACUGGACCACCAGCCAGCUGCGUUUGUUGUCCUGGAUGUCAGUGCCAACUUUGCCAGUCACACUGGGGUCCCCAAAGAGGUCAACGUAAUCAUCCUGAAUCUGAAAGAACUCUCCCAUCUCCAACAGGAUCUUCUGGGCAUUGGCAUGCUCCUUCUCACCAUCAAUUCCUGCCAGGUACAUGGCUGCAGCUACAGGAAGGUAGAAGGAGUAGAAAGCUGUCUUGUACUUGACAAUGGAUUUGUAUCUCUUUUCAGUGAAUCUGCGAAGAUCCACAUUGUCCUGGGGGCUGUGAUGAGGUCCAGGGUCUGCCCAAUCUCAGUCUGAUAGGAACUCUGCAGGAAGAGCUCUAUCAGGUUCAGGUAAUAGGGCUGCUCCCAGCAGUAGAGCUUCAGCAGGCGGUAGAUACAUGCUUCCAGAAGGAUAGCAUCAUUGAUGGCAUCCAAACCCACACCUGGCUUCUGAUACCAGCAGAUCUGUCCCCGGUGGGUGAGGGAUGAUUCCAUGAUGUCAUCUGCCACCAGGAAGAAAGCUUGCAGCAGUUGCACACACCAGCCCACAGUCAGGGCCCGCUGGAGACUAACAGUAUCCUGUUUCCUUGCCUCCACCAGCUCCCAGAAUGCUACUAGCACCGUCACACCCCGGUGACACUUGCCGCCAAUGGCAUUGCACUCCAGGGCCUCCUUGAGCCAGACAAUAGCAUCUCCUGUCUCUGGGUGCCCCAUCUCAUCCUCAGUCAGCACCCUAAUGAUCUGGGAGAAGUGCUGAAUGAAAUCUUGCUUUUCUUGGGCAUAAAUAUCUGAUUUCUGGUCUCCAUUCAUUCUGAGGGAGGAGCAAAGGGCUCUGUUUCUGGAUGUGGGUUCCUGCUCAGACAAUAUAUUUCUUAUGUAUAAUUUGGUCCAUUUUUCCCUAGUAGAUCCUCCUUUGAAAUUCCUGCCUAGAACACACCCUGCCCAUCACUUACACAGCCAAGCACCCGACUCCAGAACCUGUUCUCAGCUCUGCUGAGUGGGCAGUGGACUGUAUGGUCUCACUCCUGACUGGUAAACACCUACUCAGUGAAGCCCAUUCGAUUUUGUGUUCUAGGUACUUGAAAUUGAGGCAUGAAAACUCUUUAUACAAGUCAGAGAGUGAACCCUAACAUGAACUCUGGACUUCUGUUAAUAAUAAUAUAUUAAUAAUUGUUCAUCAAUUGUAAGAAAUUAUCUCAGUUUAUUCAUUUUUCUAUAAGAAAAUACCAUAAAUUGGGUAGCUUAUAAACAACAGAAAUUUAUUUCUCACAGUUCU
This 1383-nucleotide long non-coding RNA is filed under the name Callithrix jacchus (white-tufted-ear marmoset). RNAcentral's name for it is "lncRNA (ENSCJAG00000075801.1)". Lineage: Eukaryota; Metazoa; Chordata; Mammalia; Primates; Cebidae. The record is from RNAcentral.